This is a non-coding RNA of Plutella xylostella (diamondback moth), 834 nucleotides long. The record is from RefSeq and is a predicted model, not a curated record. NCBI's taxonomy places the organism in Eukaryota, Metazoa, Arthropoda, Insecta, Lepidoptera, Plutellidae.
AUUGGUCAUAGAACUUGCCCCAUGAUUUAAUCAGUUGACUUGUGACCUUAAGAAUGUAUUUUAAUAAACAAAUCCAUUAUAACACUCAUAGAAAGGCGUAAAAGUUAAUAAACAGUUUGGACUUAUAGCAGUUUGAUAUGCCCAUACAAGACUUAUGCUGUUUUGAUAUGAGUCAUAAGGACUUAUAGUUGUUUGUAAAAUACUAAUAUCAUGGGCCGGACUCAGUAAGACUAAUAUAGUCUAUAUUCUAUUAAAUACAAUGAAGUUAAUCAACCAAAAUUUAUCGGUAGAAAAGUACCUACCUACCGUAUUAUAUUCUACCCGAUACGGCCCUGUGUUUACUACGAAAAUGCUUUGUGAUUGACACGUGGGUUGGAAAAAAAGGGGUUUUAAACUUACUUCGACAUAGUUUUCUGUCGUUUUUUUUGCUACACUCUUCAAUCUGUUCCUUUUCCGAGCUUUAUCAGGGUCCACAAUCACAAUUUCUUCAACAUAUUCAUUCAUAUUCGUUAUAAAACACUGGGAGCACACACCAUAGGCUCGAAAUUCUCACCAAGACUGACGCCAUGUUGAAAAAAUUACGCUCUGUGAUUGGCCGAAAUGGACUUGUGAAAAUUUGUAAUGCGAAACGGUUAGACUUAAAAGGAUUUGAAAAAAACUUACUUUUUUAACGGCUUUUUUCUCAUGGAUGCCUUGCACUUAUUGGAACUUGAAGGGCAUAGGCAAACUGACAUUUUAACGGAGAACACGACCAAAUCAAAAAGUCAAUUUUUCGGGUAGGUGGACAUAUGGCAGUUUGAUAUUCAUCCACUCAAUUGAAAUAUUUCCUUGUAA